GACGAACGCUGGCGGCGCGCCUAACACAUGCAAGUCGAACGGAGCUUGCUUGUCAGAUCCUUUCGGGGUGACGAUUUGUAAGCUUAGUGGCGAACGGGUGAGUAACACGUGAGUAACCUGCCCCAGAGUGGGGGACAACAGUUGGAAACGACUGCUAAUACCGCAUAAGCCCACAGCUCGGCAUCGAGCAGAGGGAAAAGGAGUGAUCCGCUUUGAGAUGGCCUCGCGUCCGAUUAGCUAGUUGGUGAGGUAACGGCCCACCAAGGCGACGAUCGGUAGCCGGACUGAGAGGUUGAACGGCCACAUUGGGACUGAGACACGGCCCAG
This 327-nucleotide ribosomal RNA is filed under the name uncultured bacterium. RNAcentral describes it as "bacterial SSU rRNA". It matches the Rfam family "Bacterial small subunit ribosomal RNA", at positions 28 to 334 of the family's 1533-position model. The record is from RNAcentral.